Non-coding RNA from Lepisosteus oculatus (spotted gar), 332 nucleotides. NCBI's taxonomy places the organism in Eukaryota, Metazoa, Chordata, Actinopteri, Semionotiformes, Lepisosteidae. The record is from RefSeq and is a predicted model, not a curated record.
GGUUUCGGAUGGCAUCUUCAAAGGGCUCUGCAGGAAACAUAAAAGCAGCAAUCCAUGGGAAGGAAAACAAAGCUGGAUGGACUGGAACAUCUGGAUUAAGGGACCUCACUCAAGGUGUAACAGCAGUGUCUGCAGCAGGGAGUUGAAUCCACAAGCCAUGAGCCCAAAGGCUCACGCACUAUACCAGAAGAAUGGCUGCAUUAAAGUAUCCAAAAGUACCAUUGCGCAAUGUCAUAAGAGUCUCAAUAUCCACAUGUCUGUAGAAUUAACUUACCCAAACUUGGAAAAAUAAACAUGAGAAAGAAACAAAAUUAAAAUAUAUUAGAUUUGAA